CACCUCGAGUGUGAGAGGCCCCCAGCCAGACCACUGGGUUGAUAGGCCGGAUGUGGAAGCAGGGACCAAAGACCUGUGAAGCUGACCGGUACUAAUAAGCCGAUAACUUACACCACACACCC
RNAcentral lists this ribosomal RNA (122 nucleotides) under Arthrobacter agilis. Its description in RNAcentral is "partial 23S ribosomal RNA". Lineage: Bacteria; Bacillati; Actinomycetota; Actinomycetes; Micrococcales; Micrococcaceae. The record is from RNAcentral.